GUGGGGAAUAUUGGGCAAUGGGGGCAACCCUGACCCAGCGACGCCGCGUGAGGGAAGAAGGCCUUAGGGUCGUAAACCUCUGUUGUGUGGGAAGAAGGAAGUGACGGUACCACACGAGGAAGUCCCGGCUAACUACGUGCCAGCAGCCGCGGUAAUACGUAGGGGACGAGCGUUGUCCGGAAUUACUGGGCGUAAAGGGCGCGUAGGCGGUCAUUUAAGUCAGCUGUGAAAUGGUCCGGCUCAACCGGAUCAUGCGGUUGAAACUGGAUGACUGGAGUGCUGGAGAGGCAAGUGGAAUUCCCAGUGUAGCGGUGAAAUGCGUAGAUAUUGGGAAGAACACCGGUGGCGAAGGCGACUUGCUGGGCAGCAACUGACGCUGAGGCGCGAAAGCCAGGGGAGCAAACGGGAUUAGAUACCCCUGUAGUCC
RNAcentral lists this ribosomal RNA (427 nucleotides) under uncultured bacterium. Its description in RNAcentral is "partial 16S ribosomal RNA". It matches the Rfam family "Bacterial small subunit ribosomal RNA", at positions 354 to 796 of the family's 1533-position model. The record is from RNAcentral.